Molecule: ribosomal RNA, 334 nt
Filed under: uncultured bacterium
Lineage: Bacteria
Description: partial 16S ribosomal RNA
Rfam family: Bacterial small subunit ribosomal RNA
Source: RNAcentral
CCUACGAGAGGCCGCAGUGAGGAAUAUUGGUCAAUGGGCGCGAGCCUGAACCAGCCAAGUAGCGUGAAGGAUGACUGCCCUACGGGUUGUAAACUUCUUUUAUAAAGGAAUAAAGUGAGGCACGUGUGCAUUUUGGGAUGUACUUUAUGAAUAAGGAACGGCUAACUCCGUGCCAGCAGCCGAGGUAAUACGGAGGAUCCGAGCGUUAUACGGAUUUAGUGGGUUUAAAGGGAGCGGAGUUGGGUUUUUCAGGCAGUUGGGAAAGUUUGCGGCUCAACCGUAAAAUUGCACUUGAUACUGGCAGUCUUGAGUACAUUUGCGGUCGGCGGAAUUC